CCUACGGGGGGCUGCAGUGGGGGAUAUUGCACAAUGGGGGAAAGCCUGAUGCAGCGACGCCGCGUGGGUGAAGAAGUAUUUCGGUAUGUAAAGCUCUAUCAGCGGGGAAGAAAGAGGACGGUACCCGACUAAGAAGCCCCGGCUAACUACGUGCCAGCAGCCGCGGUAAUACGUAGGGGGCGAGCGUUAUUCGGAAUUACGGGGUGUAAAGGGAGCGUAGACGGUGUGGCAAGUCUGAAGUGAAAGCCCGUGGCUCAACCGCGGAACCGCUUUGGAAACUGCGAGGCUGGAGUGCUGGAGAGGUAAGCGGAAUUCCUGGUGUAGCGGUGAAAUGCGUAGAUAUCAGGAGGAACACCGGUGGCGAAGGCGGCUUACUGGAAAGUGACUGACGUUGAGGCUCGAAAGCGUGGGGAGCGAACAGGAUUAGAUACCCUUGUAGUC
RNAcentral lists this ribosomal RNA (441 nucleotides) under uncultured bacterium. RNAcentral describes it as "partial 16S ribosomal RNA". It matches the Rfam family "Bacterial small subunit ribosomal RNA", at positions 338 to 795 of the family's 1533-position model. The record is from RNAcentral.